RNAcentral lists this non-coding RNA (26 nucleotides) under Rattus norvegicus (Norway rat). The record is from RNAcentral. Lineage: Eukaryota; Metazoa; Chordata; Mammalia; Rodentia; Muridae.
UGACAACCCACCUCCUCAAUGUUGCA